Molecule: long non-coding RNA, 1229 nt
Organism: Halichondria panicea
Lineage: Eukaryota; Metazoa; Porifera; Demospongiae; Suberitida; Halichondriidae
Exons: 12
Source: RefSeq, a predicted model, not a curated record
AUAGAUACACAGCCAAAAAUCCACAGGCCUGUUUCAGGCCCGUGGGGAAAAUCAGUUGAAUACAGGCCGGAAUACGGGCCUGUAUGCGGAUGUAAUCGCCCACGGCCCGCUUACAUCCUGGAACCACAGGCCUGUUACAGCACGUACAUCCUGUCCUGAAUACGGACCGUAAAUAACAGGCCUGUUUCAGCCUGUACCACCCACGUCCUGCUUACAGCCUGUGCAGCCAGUGUAUGCGCAUGCGCAGAGAGAAAGUUGCUUAGCUACGAAAUCCACCAAGAGACUGAAAAGGUGCUUCAGUUUGAUGUUCUCGUUCAGUUGCAGCUUUAAAGGAUGGAUGGAGUAAUUAUAUUAUUUAUGGAGCUGACUGCCAAGGCCAGCUAGCAAGAAAAGAGAGAGAGAGGAACUGCUAGAUGUCUCUGCAAUUCUUCUUUCACUGUCUCUAGGAGUCUAGCUCUAUAGGCUACAAGAUCUGGUUGCCUCUGACGCAGGUUGUUGACUUCUUCUACAACGUUUAAUAUAAGAAUACACAUCUAAAAAGGACCUCUACAACGACUACUAUAUAAAUGUACCUGUGUCUAUGUCAUCAUUACUGUACUGAUUGAGCUCGAGAGAUUGAGGUUCCUUGUCACACUACUUGAGAAUAUGUACAUAUAUAAAUUGGAAUGCUCAUGCCAUCAAUGAUUUCAACCCAUCAUGACCAGAAGGUAUUUUACAAUAAUAAUUAUUGUCGUUUACAUUGGUUGGUCUAAUUACAGCAUCGUAGACACACCUAUACUUUAGGAACUAUCAGAAUUUGGCAGUUAAGUUACUGGCUGUGGACAUGGCUGGUCUGUGACAGUACAAACAGUCAAACAAAAAAUGUAUAAUGUGACAGAGGACAUGGCUGGUCUGUGGACAGUACGAACAGUCGAACAACACAUUAUAUUGUGACAGAGGACAUGGCUGGUCUGUGGACAGUACGAACAGUCAAACAACACAUUAUAUUGUGACAGAGGACAUGGCUGGUCUGUGGACAGUACGAACAGUCGAACAACACAUUAUAUUGUGUGACAGAGGACAUGGCUGGUAGUACAAACAGUCAAACAGAAAAUUUAUAAAUUGACACACUCGAGCAGCACAAGCACUAGAAGAAACAUUCCUAUUAGUGUUGUAAACUGUCGAACUGUCUGGCUAUGUUUGUUUCUUAAAAAUUUUAACACUUCGUUGAAUUAUUCAUGCCAAACUCA